GGCCCCGUAGCUCAGGGGAUAGAGCGACCGCCUCCUAAGCGGUAGGUCGCAGGUUCGAAUCCUGCCGGGGCCGCCA
This 76-nucleotide transfer RNA is filed under the name Albidovulum denitrificans. Its description in RNAcentral is "tRNA-Arg". It matches the Rfam family "tRNA". From Rfam's summary of the family: Transfer RNA (tRNA) molecules are approximately 80 nucleotides in length. Their secondary structure includes four short double-helical elements and three loops (D, anti-codon, and T loops). Further hydrogen bonds mediate the characteristic L-shaped molecular structure. tRNAs have two regions of fundamental functional importance: the anti-codon, which is responsible for specific mRNA codon recognition, and the 3' end, to which the tRNAs corresponding amino acid is attached (by aminoacyl-tRNA synthetases). tRNAs cope with the degeneracy of the genetic code in two manners: having more than one tRNA (with a specific anti-codon) for a particular amino acid; and 'wobble' base-pairing, i.e. permitting non-standard base-pairing at the 3rd anti-codon position. Lineage: Bacteria; Pseudomonadati; Pseudomonadota; Alphaproteobacteria; Rhodobacterales; Paracoccaceae. The record is from RNAcentral.